AGACGAACGCUGGCGGCGUGCCUAAUACAUGCAAGUCGAGCGGACAGAUGGGAGCUUGCUCCCUGAUGUUAGCGGCGGACGGGUGAGUAACACGUGGGUAACCUGCCUGUAAGACUGGGAUAACUCCGGGAAACCGGGGCUAAUACCGGAUGGUUGUUUGAACCGCAUGGUUCAGACAUAAAAGGUGGCUUCGGCUACCACUUACAGAUGGACCCGCGGCGCAUUAGCUAGUUGGUGAGGUAACGGCUCACCAAGGCGACGAUGCGUAGCCGACCUGAGAGGGUGAUCGGCCACACUGGGACUGAGACACGGCCCAGACUCCUACGGGAGGCAGCAGUAGGGAAUCUUCCGCAAUGGACGAAAGUCUGACGGAGCAACGCCGCGUGAGUGAUGAAGGUUUUCGGAUCGUAAAGCUCUGUUGUUAGGGAAGAACAAGUGCCGUUCAAAUAGGGCGGCACCUUGACGGUACCUAACCAGAAAGCCACGGCUAACUACGUGCCAGCAGCCGCGGUAAUACGUAGGUGGCAAGCGUUGUCCGGAAUUAUUGGGCGUAAAGGGCUCGCAGGCGGUUUCUUAAGUCUGAUGUGAAAGCCCCCGGCUCAACCGGGGAGGGUCAUUGGAAACUGGGGAACUUGAGUGCAGAAGAGGAGAGUGGAAUUCCACGUGUAGCGGUGAAAUGCGUAGAGAUGUGGAGGAACACCAGUGGCGAAGGCGACUCUCUGGUCUGUAACUGACGCUGAGGAGCGAAAGCGUGGGGAGCGAACAGGAUUAGAUACCCUGGUAGUCCACGCCGUAAACGAUGAGUGCUAAGUGUUAGGGGGUUUCCGCCCCUUAGUGCUGCAGCUAACGCAUUAAGCACUCCGCCUGGGGAGUACGGUCGCAAGACUGAAACUCAAAGGAAUUGACGGGGGCCCGCACAAGCGGUGGAGCAUGUGGUUUAAUUCGAAGCAACGCGAAGAACCUUACCAGGUCUUGACAUCCUCUGACAAUCCUAGAGAUAGGACGUCCCCUUCGGGGGCAGAGUGACAGGUGGUGCAUGGUUGUCGUCAGCUCGUGUCGUGAGAUGUUGGGUUAAGUCCCGCAACGAGCGCAACCCUUGAUCUUAGUUGCCAGCAUUCAGUUGGGCACUCUAAGGUGACUGCCGGUGACAAACCGGAGGAAGGUGGGGAUGACGUCAAAUCAUCAUGCCCCUUAUGACCUGGGCUACACACGUGCUACAAUGGACAGAACAAAGGGCAGCGAAACCGCGAGGUUAAGCCAAUCCCACAAAUCUGUUCUCAGUUCGGAUCGCAGUCUGCAACUCGACUGCGUGAAGCUGGAAUCGCUAGUAAUCGCGGAUCACAUGC
RNAcentral lists this ribosomal RNA (1346 nucleotides) under Bacillus sp. (in: firmicutes). Its description in RNAcentral is "bacterial SSU rRNA". It matches the Rfam family "Bacterial small subunit ribosomal RNA", at positions 26 to 1357 of the family's 1533-position model. RNAcentral also lists the same sequence under 1 other name. The record is from RNAcentral. Lineage: Bacteria; Bacillati; Bacillota; Bacilli; Caryophanales; Bacillaceae.